This 433-nucleotide ribosomal RNA is filed under the name uncultured bacterium. Its description in RNAcentral is "partial 16S ribosomal RNA". It matches the Rfam family "Bacterial small subunit ribosomal RNA", at positions 29 to 507 of the family's 1533-position model. The record is from RNAcentral.
AACGAACGCUGGCGGCAUGCCUAACACAUGCAAGUCGAACGAGACCUUCGGGUCUAGUGGCGCACGGGUGCGUAACGCGUGGGAACCUGCCCUUAGGUUCGGAAUAACUCCCCGAAAGGGGUGCUAAUACCGGAUAAUGUCUUCGGACCAAAGAUUUAUCGCCUUUGGAUGGGCCCGCGUUGGAUUAGCUAGUUGGUAGUGUAAAAGCCUACCAAGGCGACGAUCCAUAGCUGGUCUGAGAGGAUGAUCAGCCACACUGGGACUGAGACACGGCCCAGACUCCUACGGGAGGCAGCAGAGGGGAAUAUUGGACAAGGGGCGAAAGCCUGAUACAGCAACGCCGCGUGAGUGAUGAAGGCCGUAGGGUUGUAAAGCUCUUUUACCCGGGAUGAUAAUGACAGUACCGGGAGAAGAAGCACCGGCUAACUCCGUG